Molecule: ribosomal RNA, 253 nt
Filed under: uncultured bacterium
Lineage: Bacteria
Description: partial 16S ribosomal RNA
Rfam family: Bacterial small subunit ribosomal RNA
Source: RNAcentral
UACGUAGGGGGCUAGCGUUGUCCGGAAUCAUUGGGCGUAAAGAGCGUGUAGGCGGUCCGGUAAGUCCGCUGUGAAAGUCGGGGGCUCAACCCUCGAAUGCCGGUGGAUACUGUCGGGCUAGAGUGCGGAAGAGGCGAGUGGAAUUCCCGGUGUAGCGGUGAAAUGCGCAGAUAUCGGGAGGAACACCAAUGGCGAAGGCAGCUCGCUGGGACGUUACUGACGCUGAGACGCGAAAGCGUGGGGAGCAAACAGG